This 606-nucleotide ribosomal RNA is filed under the name uncultured bacterium. RNAcentral's name for it is "bacterial SSU rRNA". It matches the Rfam family "Bacterial small subunit ribosomal RNA", at positions 8 to 608 of the family's 1533-position model. The record is from RNAcentral.
AGAGUUUGAUCCUGGCUCAGGAUGAACGCUGGCGGCGUGCUUAACACAUGCAAGUCGAACGGGGAUAAGACAUCGGAAGAGCUGCUUGCAGAUUGGAAGAAGUCAUAUUCUAGUGGCGGACGGGUGAGUAACGCGUGGGCAACCUGGCCCAUACAGGGGGAUAACACUUAGAAAUAGGUGCUAAUACCGCAUAACAACAGAAAGCGCAUGCUUUGUGUUUGAAAACUGAGGUGGUAUGGGAUGGACCCGCGUCUGAUUAGCUGGUUGGCGGGGUAAUGGCCCACCAAGGCGACGAUCAGUAGCCGGCCUGAGAGGGUGGACGGCCACAUUGGGACUGAGACACGGCCCAAACUCCUACGGGAGGCAGCAGUGGGGAAUAUUGCACAAUGGGGGAAACCCUGAUGCAGCGACGCCGCGUGAGUGAAAAAGUAAUUCGUUGUGUGAAGCUCUACCACCAGGGAAGAAAAUGACGGCCCCUGAUUACGACGCCCGGGCUAACUACCUGCCAUCCGCCGCAGUAAUACGCAGGGGGCAAGCGUCCUCCGGAUUUUCUGGGUGUGAAGGGAGCGUAGACGGCAGUGCUCGUCUGGAGUGAACGGCGGGGGC